UGGGCGUGGAAUGUCUGUCCUGUUAGAGCGUCCCCUGGCACCUCUCCAAGAAUCUAGGGUAUUCCCACAAAGGAAUUCUCCCCGCCCUCGCCGAAAGAAUCCCGGCCAGAUGGACAAGCUGGAAACCACCUCAAGUAUCUUCCAUCAACAGCCGGUCCGGUUCUCUCUUGUCCGGUUCCAAGGAACUCGAAAGGCAUGUAGCACCUCCUGUUGCUUUUCAUUUCCCAUGUUAUGCUUUGUCUCAAAAGGGAAACACCACCUGACCUUUUUUUAAAGGGCCCCUGGUGAUCUCGGGGAAGAGAGGGGCUUCUCUUUGCCAUCAAAACUGGACAGGACGUGAGAUAUUUUGAUGGAGACCCCAUGAGAUAGAUAGAUAGAUAGAUAGAUAGAUAGAUAGAUAGAUAGAUAGAUAGAUAGAUGUGCCUACGCACACAUGCAGAAUGUAGCCCCUUUUUUGUGCCUCGUUAUAAAUUGGAAGCUCAGAACCUGAUGAUAGAUGUUUGCCCAUCCUUUGCAGCAGAUUUGUUUAGCUGUUCACUUCUUUGUUUUCCUUUAUUUUGCAUUUCUAUCCUUCCUUUUGUGCAAAGAAUUCCAGGUCAGUCACAGAGCCUCCCUAGGUAAGGGGUGGGGUGGGGGGGUUGAACUCCUUUCGUCUCCCAGGCCAGAGUCCCAACCUAUUACAUUGUGAUUCGCUUAAGUUGCAACCAGUGGAGGGGAGAACUCGGUCUCCCGACAGAGGCCUCAUCCACACCUAUAUUUUAAUCCAACUUCAAUCCACCUCAGAGUAAGAGAAUGCACCAGCAAAGUGCCGUCUGCUUUCUUUCUGCCUCAUCAGGCCCCAGGGUGGGUUUUCUAGGCUAGAUGAUGCAAAAGGAAAACUGCUAAGUCCUUUUUUGCUGUUGCGUUUUCUCACUCUGAAAGCAGACCGAAGGUCUAGUAAGUCAGGAUUUGAUGCUGAGAUUGACGCUCNGCUUCUCUGCAAGGUUCGGUGCUGUGUACAGCGCGAGGCGUUGAUCAAGUCCUGCCGGGGGGGGGGGGUUGCAAAGUAGGCAAUAGCGUCGGCUUCUUCACUUCUCCGUCUGCAUGACUGAGAAAUGCGCUCCCGGCCGUCUUCUCGUUUGCCACGUCAACCUGAAGAUCAACAAGUUUCUUCUUUUCUCCUCCGUCGAUCUCAUCAGCUAUGAGGCCACACAGGUGCUGAGUUGUAACCUGCUCCCACUUUCCCCUUUGAGCCAAACUGAAGCCAAGGAGAGAAGACGUCUUUCUCUCCCUGA
Molecule: long non-coding RNA, 1274 nt
Filed under: Salvator merianae (Argentine black and white tegu)
Lineage: Eukaryota; Metazoa; Chordata; Lepidosauria; Squamata; Teiidae
Description: lncRNA (ENSSMRG00000012017.1)
Source: RNAcentral